UACGGAGGGAGCUAGCGUUGUUCGGAAUUACUGGGCGUAAAGCGCACGUAGGCGGCUUUGUGAGUUAGAGGUGAAAGCCCGGGGCUCAACCCCGGAAUUGCCUUUAAGACUGCAUCGCUUGAAUCCGGGAGAGGUGAGUGGAAUUCCGAGUGUGAGAGGUGAAAUUCGUAGAUAUUCGGAAGAACACCAGUGGCGAAGGCGGCUCACUGGACCGGCAUUGACGCUGAGGUGCGAAAGCGUGGGGAGCAAACAGG
Molecule: ribosomal RNA, 254 nt
Filed under: uncultured bacterium
Lineage: Bacteria
Description: partial 16S ribosomal RNA
Rfam family: Bacterial small subunit ribosomal RNA
Source: RNAcentral